AUAGCUUUGGUCCUGGGCUUACCGUUGUUUUUUAUUAAGAUUAUACAUGCAAGCCUCAACAAUCCAGUGAAAAUGCCCAAAACCCCCUAAAAGACAAAAUGGAGCAGGCAUCAGGCACUAUAAUUAAGCCCAUAACGCCUAGCCACGCCACACCCCCACGGCUCACCAGCAGUAAUUAACAUUGGGCUAUAAGUGAAAACUUGACCCAACUAUAAUAACAUUAGGGCUGGUCAAUUUCGUGCCAGCCACGCGUUAUACGAAAGGCCCUAAACAACGACAAACCGGCGUAAAUGUGACUAGAGAUUCAUAAUAUUUUAAAUAUCAAAAUCCAUUAGCCUAGUUGUAAAACACUUAGACAAUGGAGAAAAUCAGCACAGAUAUUCUUAAUAUUAUAUUCUUGAUUACACGAAAGCUUAGAAACAAACUAGGAUUAGAUACCCUACUAUGCUAAGCCCCGAACAUUGAAAGUUUACCUAUACUUUACUUUCCGCCAGAGAACUACGAGUGAAAAACUUAAAACUCAAAGGACUUGACGGUGUCCCAUAUCGG
This 549-nucleotide ribosomal RNA is filed under the name Podarcis siculus (Italian wall lizard). RNAcentral's name for it is "partial 12S rRNA". It matches the Rfam family "Bacterial small subunit ribosomal RNA", at positions 9 to 929 of the family's 1533-position model. The record is from RNAcentral. Lineage: Eukaryota; Metazoa; Chordata; Lepidosauria; Squamata; Lacertidae.